ACAACAACAACAACAACAAAACAUGCCACGUGUGCACUGGCAUAUACAAACACGCCCACAGAACCAAACCAAACGGACAAGGCUUCAAGGAGAGCUUCUAGGCGGCUCAUUCCCGCGGCGAGGCAUAUCCCUUGGCAUCGUGCCAUUGCAGCCCAGUUCCCAGCCCCCCCGCCAUCUGUCAUCAGCGCUCUGCCUACUGAAAAAGAAAUGUCAGUAUACCACCAGAUCAAAAUACUCUGUCUAUCUAAAAAGGACCAAGCCCAGUUGCCCAGAGGAAGAAAAAAACAAUCUGUUGUGGUAGACUGAAGAAGCAAGAAGUUAUACGGUCAGAUUCAUUCACAACUGACAAAACUGUUCAUUGUGCAGACCUUUUCUUGAAUGCUUGAAUCUGUGGUUAGGUAGAAGGACUUCUCUUCCCCUGCCUUUAUUUAUUCUCUCUUUAUGUCAUGCUUCAGAGCUUUCUCCCUAGACAAUAAGUCCUGUGUCUGGUUAUUCUGAGGCAAGAACAUAAUAAAUGCUUACUCUUUUUGUGGAAAUACUGGACACUUCAGGGAAAGUGCAUUUGACAUGGUGGCCAUGUCUAAAACAUAGUCAUAUCAUUAAUAUCAAUAAUGU
This 615-nucleotide long non-coding RNA is filed under the name Callithrix jacchus (white-tufted-ear marmoset). RNAcentral's name for it is "lncRNA (ENSCJAG00000083985.1)". Lineage: Eukaryota; Metazoa; Chordata; Mammalia; Primates; Cebidae. The record is from RNAcentral.